RNAcentral lists this ribosomal RNA (448 nucleotides) under Veillonella parvula. RNAcentral's name for it is "bacterial SSU rRNA". It matches the Rfam family "Bacterial small subunit ribosomal RNA", at positions 28 to 454 of the family's 1533-position model. Lineage: Bacteria; Bacillati; Bacillota; Negativicutes; Veillonellales; Veillonellaceae. The record is from RNAcentral.
GACGAACGCGGCGGCGUGCUUAACACAUGCAAGUCGAACGAAGAGCGAUGGAAGCUUGCUUCUAUCAAUCUUAGUGGCGAACGGGUGAGUAACGCGUAAUCAACCUGCCCUUCAGAGGGGGACAACAGUUGGAAACGACUGCUAAUACCGCAUACGAUCUAACCUCGGCAUCGGGGAAAGAUGAAAGGUGGCCUCUAUGUAUAAGCUAUCACUGAAGGAGGGGAUUGCGUCUGAUUAGCUAGUUGGAGGGGUAACGGCCCACCAAGGCGAUGAUCAGUAGCCGGUCUGAGAGGAUGAACGGCCACAUUGGGACUGAGACACGGCCCAGACUCCUACGGGAGGCAGCAGUGGGGAAUCUUCCGCAAUGGACGAAAGUCUGACGGAGCAACGCCGCGUGAGUGAUGACGGCCUUCGGGUUGUAAAGCUCUGUUAAUCGGGACGAAAGGCC